ACAUGUACCAGCAAGAAACUUUUGCGUUUUAAGAGUUCUAUUUGGAAUGUUACACAAAAAUAAGUUUCAAAACAUGUUUUGACGCGAUUACGCAUUUGUUGCUGCGUUUCGGGCCCGUCGCAGCCUUGGAACGCUGUUCAUGAGGUCCACUUCACGCACCAAAAUGGGUCACGCCUCCACGCACAAGGUCACUGCCAGCCGAGCUUGCUUACAAUAUUCCGAUUGAUGUGGUUACUGGCGAGCUACACUAAAAUUUAUUGCGUUGUUUGCUUAUAAGUCUUCUUUAACGACGCAUUCAACUUUUCCCGGAAUGGACUGUGAAAAUAUUUAAAUCUGUGACUUCCGGCGUGCCAUAGCACAUUGUUAAACAGUCUAUCGCGAUGUUUAAUUGUCCCGAUCCCAUGCAGCCGAUAUUUUGCACAAAGUUCAAGCAACAACCACUAGCAAUCACAAUAGCUCACCUCCAUAAAACCAGUGAAGCUUUUGAUCUGUAAAAAGGCCAAGUUUUGUCCUUAAAUGCUACACAAAAGCAAGUGAUAAUGAAAAAAACCUUGUUUUUUCAGUAAAGUCUGAGGAACACCUCUGUGAAAUGAAAUUUACUUACAAACCCGUGCUAUGCAAAACAGUGCUACAUGAAGCAGGCACUGGCCAUUUUGUUACUAUGCAUCGCUACGGACAGCAGGAGCGUACUGGGAGGUUCCUGACAAACUUGCGGGAAAUGUUCCUUGGGUCAGUUUGAGUUUAAGUAAUCAAAUGUAUGUCAUUGUGAAGUUCAAAUUAUGGAACUAAGGACAAAUACAACAUAUUCAAAGUGAAGCUUUUGCAGCGACUGAAGUUGAUGAAAGACUCUUGGGUUAGAAGCCGCGUCAGGUGGCUGAAUGGCGAAUAAACCAUAUCUUCUGCCUUCGUUGGUUAUGUUACAGAGUUCUUAAAUCUGCGUCCUGUUCGCUUAUGUGUCGGCACAUAUUUUAAUGGUAUGUUUUGGAUGCACAUAGCCAAUCUAUGGGUCUUCAGGCAUAUUCACAAACGACACCACUGCUGACGAGAAAUAAGGAAUAUGAGUAAUUAUCACUAGAUCUUCAAAUUACAGUUUCAAACUAUAAAUAUUAAAUUCCACCUAUUAAAAUACAGUACCACUUUUCCCAAGUAUGUCCCUACUGAUAAGGCUUCACACUAGUUCUUCCGAGUUAGAAUUCACUCGCUGUUAUCAUCAUUUCAAUAUAGCCCUGGAAAUGGAUGGCGCUAAAGCUCCGUGCCUAUACCUGGCCGCCGCAAGGCAAGGCUGUUUUGAUGCGAUUAAAGAUGGAUACAUUUUGUAGUGGGGUAUGGAUUGGGCUGGACCGUCUGUAGUUAGUGAGCUAUUUUGAAUAAAAAAUUGUUACUUUUUGCUUUUUGGUAGAUGCUAACUUUGGACUUGAAGGCUGUUGCUGCUGCCUGUCCUGUCUGAUGAACGACACUAGACUAGUAUCAGUACCAGUGUUUUUUAAUUGUCAGAAUUUAAUGUUCCUCUUAAUUGGCAGUUGUAGUGAUAAUUAUUCCCCACUUAAUGGUACCUGCACCUUCGUGGUGGUGGGGCUUGAGUUAUCUCAGUGACCCCAAGAGCUAUGCUGGCGGUAGCCAAAUUUGUCGAGGGGGAGAGGUCAGACUAAGACAGGUAACCUGGUCCCCCAGGUUGGGGGGGUUGGUCGCAAGGCUAACAACCUUGCACCGUAAAAAGGAAGAUGUUUCGAAACCUAGAUCUAAGCCUUGGACAGACGGACCUAACAGAGGACCGAAUGGAAGAGGAGAAUUGAGGAGGCCAUGGACCGAAUACGGACCGGAGAGCCAUAGAAGAAGAAGAAAUUAUGUACAGACACUUAGGUAAUAUAUGUAAUUUUUUUAUAAAAUAAUCUGUCAAUCAAAUAAUUUAGGAGAGUAAACGUAAGGCAUGCAUUAACAUUUAUAUUGAAUACAUUACGUAUUAUUGAAUUUCAGUGGGCACUGAUAGUAAUUUUUAAAUGAUGAAGCCCCAAUAAAGAAUGCAGUUAUACAGAA
Zootermopsis nevadensis is the source of this 2034-nucleotide long non-coding RNA. RefSeq lists it as uncharacterized. The record is from RefSeq and is a predicted model, not a curated record. NCBI's taxonomy places the organism in Eukaryota, Metazoa, Arthropoda, Insecta, Blattodea, Termopsidae.